GACAGGGGGUGCCAACGUUGUUCGGAAUUACUGGGCGUAAAGCGCGUGUAGGCGGCUUGAGCAAGUCGGGUGUGAAAGCCCCAGGCUCAACCUGGGAAGUGCAUUCGAUACUGCGGAGCUGGAGUCCCGGAGAGGGUGGUGGAACUCUCGGUGUAGAGGUGAAAUUCGUAGAGAUCGAGAAGAACACCGGUGGCGAAGGCGGCCACCUGGACGGAGACUGACGCUGAGACGCGAAAGCGUGGGGAGCAAACAGG
Molecule: ribosomal RNA, 254 nt
Filed under: uncultured bacterium
Lineage: Bacteria
Description: partial 16S ribosomal RNA
Rfam family: Bacterial small subunit ribosomal RNA
Source: RNAcentral